GACGAACGCUGGCGGCGUGCCUAAUACAUGCAAGUCGAGCGAAGUUUUUCUGGUGCUUGCACUAGAAAAACUUAGCGGCGAACGGGUGAGUAACACGUAAAGAACCUGCCUCAUAGACUGGGACAACUAUUGGAAACGAUAGCUAAUACCGGAUAACAGUAUUUCUCGCAUGAGAGAUAUUUAAAAGUUGGUUAUGCUAACACUAUGAGAUGGCUUUGCGGUGCAUUAGCUAGUUGGUGGGGUAAAGGCCCACCAAGGCGACGAUGCAUAGCCGACCUGAGAGGGUGAUCGGCCACACUGGAACUGAGACACGGCCCAGACUCCUACGGGAGGCAGCAGUAGGGAAUCUUCCGCAAUGGGCGAAAGCCUGACGGAGCAACGCCGCGUGAGUGAAGAAGGAUUUCGGUUCGUAAAGCUCUGUUGUUAGGGAAGAAUGGAUAUGUAGUAACUAUACAUGUAAGAGACGGUACCUAACCAGAAAGCCACGGCUAACUACGUG
This 499-nucleotide ribosomal RNA is filed under the name uncultured bacterium. RNAcentral's name for it is "partial 16S ribosomal RNA". It matches the Rfam family "Bacterial small subunit ribosomal RNA", at positions 28 to 507 of the family's 1533-position model. The record is from RNAcentral.